This 79-nucleotide transfer RNA is filed under the name Claviceps purpurea (ergot fungus). Its description in RNAcentral is "tRNA-Ala". It matches the Rfam family "tRNA". From Rfam's summary of the family: Transfer RNA (tRNA) molecules are approximately 80 nucleotides in length. Their secondary structure includes four short double-helical elements and three loops (D, anti-codon, and T loops). Further hydrogen bonds mediate the characteristic L-shaped molecular structure. tRNAs have two regions of fundamental functional importance: the anti-codon, which is responsible for specific mRNA codon recognition, and the 3' end, to which the tRNAs corresponding amino acid is attached (by aminoacyl-tRNA synthetases). tRNAs cope with the degeneracy of the genetic code in two manners: having more than one tRNA (with a specific anti-codon) for a particular amino acid; and 'wobble' base-pairing, i.e. permitting non-standard base-pairing at the 3rd anti-codon position. The record is from RNAcentral. Lineage: Eukaryota; Fungi; Ascomycota; Sordariomycetes; Hypocreales; Clavicipitaceae.
GGGCGGAUGGUUUAGUGGUAUAAUACUCCCUUAGCAUGGUGCCUGGGAGUGGUCCGGGGUUCGAUUCCCCGUCUGUCCA